RNAcentral lists this ribosomal RNA (483 nucleotides) under uncultured bacterium. RNAcentral describes it as "partial 16S ribosomal RNA". It matches the Rfam family "Bacterial small subunit ribosomal RNA", at positions 30 to 507 of the family's 1533-position model. The record is from RNAcentral.
AUUGAACGCUGGCGGCAGGCCUAACACAUGCAAGUCGAGCGGAUGAAGGGAGCUUGCUCCUGGAUUCAGCGGCGGACGGGUGAGUAAUGCCUAGGAAUCUGCCUGGUAGUGGGGGAUAACGUCCGGAAACGGGCGCUAAUACCGCAUACGUCCUGAGGGGGAAAGUGGGGGAUCUUCGGACCUCACGCUAUCAGAUGAGCCUAGGUCGGAUUAGCUAGUUGGUGGGGUAAAGGCCUACCAAGGCGACGAUCCGUAACUGGUCUGAGAGGAUGAUCAGUCACACUGGAACUGAGACACGGUCCAGACUCCUACGGGAGGCAGCAGUGGGAAUAUUGGACAAUGGGCGAAAGCCUGAUCCAGCCAUGCCGCGUGUGUGAAGAAGGUCUUCGGAUUGUAAAGCACUUUAAGUUGGGAGGAAGGGCAGUAAGUUAAUACCUUGCUGUUUUGACGUUACCAACAGAAUAAGCACCGGCUAACUUCGUG